UACGUAGGGACCGAGCGUUGUCCGGAUUCAUUGGGCGUAAAGAGCUCGUAGGCGGUCUGUCGCGUCUGCUGUGAAAACUCGGGGCUUAACCCCGGGCCUGCAGUGGGUACGGGCAGACUAGAGUGCGGUAGGGGAGACUGGAAUUCCUGGUGUAGCGGUGAAAUGCGCAGAUAUCAGGAGGAACACCGAUGGCGAAGGCAGGUCUCUGGGCCACUACUGACGCUGAGAAGCGAAAGCAUGGGGAGCGAACAGG
This 253-nucleotide ribosomal RNA is filed under the name uncultured bacterium. Its description in RNAcentral is "partial 16S ribosomal RNA". It matches the Rfam family "Bacterial small subunit ribosomal RNA", at positions 524 to 776 of the family's 1533-position model. The record is from RNAcentral.